UCUGCGUAGGUGAACCUGCGGAGGGAUCAUUACUGAGUGAGGGCUUCGGGCCGGCCUCAAACCCUUUGUGAACCAAACUUGUUGCUUCGGGGGCGACCCUGCCGCUUCGGCGGUGCGGCGCCCCCGGAGGCCAUGAAACACUGCAUCAUUGCGUCGGAGUUAAAGUAAAUUAAACAAAACUUUCAACAACGGAUCUCUUGGUUCCAGCAUCGAUGAAGAACGCAGC
This 226-nucleotide unclassified non-coding RNA is filed under the name uncultured fungus. RNAcentral's name for it is "sequence contains ITS1, 5.8S rRNA gene". The stretch from base 178 to 226 matches the Rfam family "5.8S ribosomal RNA", at positions 1 to 49 of the family's 154-position model. The record is from RNAcentral. Lineage: Eukaryota; Fungi.